This 330-nucleotide ribosomal RNA is filed under the name uncultured eukaryote. RNAcentral describes it as "partial 18S ribosomal RNA". It matches the Rfam family "Eukaryotic small subunit ribosomal RNA", at positions 1470 to 1796 of the family's 1831-position model. The record is from RNAcentral.
CCCUUAGAUGUUCUGGGCCGCACGCGCGCUACACUGACAUGUUCAACGAGUUUACAACCUUGGCUGAGAAGCCUGGGUAAUCUUUUAAAAGCAUGUCGUGAUGGGGAUAGAUUAUUGCAAUUAUUAAUCUUGAACGAGGAAUUCCUAGUAAACGCAAGUCAUCAGCUUGCAUUGAUUACGUCCCUGCCCUUUGUACACACCGCCCGUCGCACCUACCGAUUGAAUGGUCCGGUGAAAUCUUUGGACCGUGACAAUGUCUUGCUUUCGGCAAGACUUUGUUGUGGGAAGUAGAUUAAACCUUACCAUUUAGAGGAAGGUGAAGUCGUAACA